AAGACCUUGCGCUUUUGGAGCGGCCGAUGUCUGAUUAGCUUGUUGGUAAGGUAAAAGCUUACCAAGGCUUCGAUCAGUAGCUGGUCUGAGAGGACGACCAGCCACACUGGGACUGAGACACGGCCCAGACUCCUACGGGAGGCAGCAGUGGGGAAUUUUGGACAAUGGGGGCAACCCUGAUCCAGCCAUGCCGCGUGAGUGAAGAAGGCCUUCGGGUUGUAAAGCUCUUUCAGCCGGAAKGAAACGGUUACGGUUAAUACCCGUGACUACUGACGGUACCGGAAGAAGAAGCACCGGCUAACUACGUGCCAGCAGCCGCGGUAAUACGUAGGGUGCAAGCGUUAAUCGGAAUUACUGGGCGUAAAGCGUGCGCAGGUGGUUUUGUAAGUCAGAUGUGAAAUCCCCGGGCUUAACCUGGGAACU
Molecule: ribosomal RNA, 423 nt
Filed under: uncultured bacterium
Lineage: Bacteria
Description: bacterial SSU rRNA
Rfam family: Bacterial small subunit ribosomal RNA
Source: RNAcentral